GUUAGAUGCUCGUAAUAAUAUAUUUUGUCAUCCAUCAGAGGUUGGCUUACAUUGUCUAAGAUGAUUCAUAUUGCAUUGAUAGCAAGUUCAAAAUUCAAAGCUUGCGCUUGUGUAUUCUUUUUGAUGUGGUAAUACUUCAACAGACACAUAUAUCAAUUUUCUGGAAGAUACAAAUGGAUACUGAGCUCUCAUGCUUACUUUUUAUGCAUACUGUCAAUAUCAUAUGCAUGUGCUUUAUAUAUCAUACAGAUGCUUUUGUUCCUGUUCAUUCUGUUUUUCAGUUAUUUAUGUGGGACCUACCUAAGUUGUGAACUCAAAC
RNAcentral lists this unclassified non-coding RNA (319 nucleotides) under Hevea brasiliensis (rubber tree). The record is from RNAcentral. Lineage: Eukaryota; Viridiplantae; Streptophyta; Magnoliopsida; Malpighiales; Euphorbiaceae.